UACGGAGGGUGCGAGCGUUGUCCGGAAUCACUGGGCGUAAAGGGCGCGUAGGUGGCGCGGGCAGUCAACGGUGAAAGUUCGGGGCUCAACCCUGAAUCGGCCGUCGAUACUCCCGGGCUUGAGCACUGUAGAGGCAGAUGGAAUUCCGGGUGUAGCGGUGGAAUGCGUAGAGAUCCGGAGGAACACCGACGGCGCAGGCAGCGUCCUGGCCGCCUGCUGACACUGAGGCACGAAAGCUGGGGGAGCAAACAGG
RNAcentral lists this ribosomal RNA (253 nucleotides) under uncultured bacterium. Its description in RNAcentral is "partial 16S ribosomal RNA". It matches the Rfam family "Bacterial small subunit ribosomal RNA", at positions 524 to 776 of the family's 1533-position model. The record is from RNAcentral.